RNAcentral lists this ribosomal RNA (394 nucleotides) under uncultured Anaeromyxobacter sp. Its description in RNAcentral is "bacterial SSU rRNA". It matches the Rfam family "Bacterial small subunit ribosomal RNA", at positions 67 to 447 of the family's 1533-position model. Lineage: Bacteria; Pseudomonadati; Myxococcota; Myxococcia; Myxococcales; Anaeromyxobacteraceae. The record is from RNAcentral.
CGAGAAAGCCCGCAAGGGUGAGUACAGCGGCGAACGGGUGCGUAACACGUGGGUAAUCUGCCCUGAAGUCCGGAAUAACUCGCCGAAAGGCGUGCUAAUGCCGGAUGAGACCACGGGAGCCUCGGCUCCUGCGGGAAAAGGUGGCCUCUGUAUACAAGCUAUCGCUUCAGGAUGAGCCCGCGGCCCAUCAGCUCGUUGGCGGGGUAAUGGCCCACCAAGGCUACGACGGGUAGCUGGUCUGAGAGGACGAUCAGCCACACUGGAACUGAGACACGGUCCAGACUCCUACGGGAGGCAGCAGUGGGGAAUCUUGCGCAAUGGGCGAAAGCCUGACGCAGCAACGCCGCGUGUGUGAUGAAGGUCUUCGGAUCGUAAAGCACUGUCGCGAGGGACG